GAAGGUAGCAUAAUAAUUAGGCUAUUAAUUGUAGUCUUGUAUGAANGGUUGAACAUAGGAAAUUCUUUCUUAUNUGUAUNGUUGAAUUUAAAUAAUUAGUAAAAAUGCUAAUGUGAGUUAAAGGGACGAGAAGACCCUAUUGAGUUUUAUAUUUAAGUUUUUGGUUUNUUUGAUAAGUUAUAUGAUGAGUAAUAUUUGGUUGGGGUGACUAUUUUAGGUAAACAUUAUAUUUUAUUUGUGUUAAUUUUUGAUCCCCUAUUAGUGAUUAAUAGAAUAAAUUACCAUAGGGAUAACAGCAUAAUUUAUUNGGAGAGUUCUUAUUGAUNAAUAAGUUUGUGACCUCGAUGUUGGAUU
This 354-nucleotide ribosomal RNA is filed under the name Scolopendra cingulata. Its description in RNAcentral is "LSU rRNA". Lineage: Eukaryota; Metazoa; Arthropoda; Chilopoda; Scolopendromorpha; Scolopendridae. The record is from RNAcentral.